CUUGGCGCUCCUUGGACUGAUACUGUGGUGAUGGAUUUCCUUGAAUAUUUGGAGGGAGUUGCAUCUAAAUCCGCUGCUUCUGGUUUUCAAGCAGAAAGUGGGCAAAUUUCUCUUGAGGGCGUGCAUCACGUGGAGGAAGUAUGAUUAGCAAAUAGUGAAAGACAAAUGUUGAUAUUGCUUGUACUUAAUGGCCAUGCGAUCACAUUCCCAUUCAUUAUCCAUUAUUUUAAUAUCAUCUGAUUCUUUCACCUGUGGCAUUGUUUGAACUUA
This 270-nucleotide unclassified non-coding RNA is filed under the name Hevea brasiliensis (rubber tree). Lineage: Eukaryota; Viridiplantae; Streptophyta; Magnoliopsida; Malpighiales; Euphorbiaceae. The record is from RNAcentral.